AGUGAACGCUGGCGGCAGGCCUAACACAUGCAAGUCGAACGGCAGCGCAGUGGGAGCUCUCGCGGAGGGGUGCCGACGGGCGGGGGGUUGGGCGAAACAUCCCUUUCUAUUGGUGCGAGCGUAGGAACGUUGGGGAAAUUACCCCAAUCCCCCUUAGGACCAACGUGGGAAAGCGGGAGAUCUUCGGACUUUGGGUGAUCCAACGACCCGAUGUCGGAUUAGCUAGUUAGCGGGGUAAAGGCCCACCAAGGCGACGCUCCGUAGCUGGUCUGAGAGGAUGAUCAGCCACACUGGAACUGAGACACGGUCCAGACUCCUACGGGAGGCAGCAGUGGGGAAUAUUGGACAAUGGGCGCAAGCCUGAUCCAGCCAUGCCGCGUGGGUGAAGAAGGCCUUCGGGUUGUAAAGCCCUUUUGUUGGGAAAGAAAAGCAGCAGGUUAAUACCCCCCUGUUCUGACGGUACCCAAAGAAUAAGCACCGGCUAACUUCGUG
RNAcentral lists this ribosomal RNA (492 nucleotides) under uncultured bacterium. Its description in RNAcentral is "partial 16S ribosomal RNA". It matches the Rfam family "Bacterial small subunit ribosomal RNA", at positions 29 to 507 of the family's 1533-position model. The record is from RNAcentral.